This 138-nucleotide unclassified non-coding RNA is filed under the name soil metagenome. RNAcentral describes it as "partial internal transcribed spacer 1". The record is from RNAcentral.
CCUAGAGUUGUAGGCUUUGCCUGCUAUCUCUUACCCAUGUCUUUUGAGUGCCUUCGUUUCCUCGGCGGGUCCGCCCGCCGAUUGGACGAUUUAAACCAUUUGCAGUUGCAAUCAGCGUCUGAAAAAACUUAAUAGUUA